This 432-nucleotide ribosomal RNA is filed under the name uncultured bacterium. Its description in RNAcentral is "partial 16S ribosomal RNA". It matches the Rfam family "Bacterial small subunit ribosomal RNA", at positions 29 to 506 of the family's 1533-position model. The record is from RNAcentral.
AACGAACGCUGGCGGCAUGCCUAACACAUGCAAGUCGAACGAGACCUUCGGGUCUAGUGGCGCACGGGUGCGUAACGCGUGGGAACCUGCCCUUAGGUUCGGAAUAACUCCCCGAAAGGGGUGCUAAUACCGGAUAAUGUCUUCGGACCAAAGAUUUAUCGCCUUUGGAUGGGCCCGCGUUGGAUUAGCUAGUUGGUAGGGUAAAAGCCUACCAAGGCGACGAUCCAUAGCUGGUCUGAGAGGAUGAUCAGCCACUCUGGGACUGAGACACGGCCCAGACUCCUACGGGAGGCAGCAGUGGGGAAUAUUGGACAAUGGGCGAAAGCCUGAUCCAGCAAUGCCGCGUGAGUGAUGAAGGCCUUAGGGUUGUAAAGCUCUUUUACCCGGGAUGAUAAUGACAGUACCGGGAGAAUAAGCUCCGGCUAACUCCGU